Molecule: ribosomal RNA, 250 nt
Filed under: uncultured Chroococcidiopsis sp.
Lineage: Bacteria; Bacillati; Cyanobacteriota; Cyanophyceae; Chroococcidiopsidales; Chroococcidiopsidaceae
Description: partial 16S ribosomal RNA
Rfam family: Bacterial small subunit ribosomal RNA
Source: RNAcentral
CUAGCCGUAAACGAUGGAUACUAGGCGUUGUGAGUAUCGACCCUCACAGUGUCGUAGCUAACGCGUUAAGUAUCCCGCCUGGGGAGUACGCGCGCAAGCGUGAAACUCAAAGGAAUUGACGGGGGCCCGCACAAGCGGUGGAGUAUGUGGUUUAAUUCGAUGCAACGCGAAGAACCUUACCAGGACUUGACAUGUCGCGAAUCUCAGGGAAACUUGAGAGUGCCUUCGGGAGUGCGAACACAGGUGGUGC